AACGACUCUCGGCAACGGAUAUCUCGGCUCUCGCAUCGAUGAAGAACGCAGCGAAAUGCGAUACUUGGUGUGAAUUGCAGAAUCCCGUGAACCAUCGAGUUUUUGAACGCAAGUUGCGCCCAAAGCCUUCUGGCCGAGGGCACGUCUGCCUGGGUGUCACGC
RNAcentral lists this ribosomal RNA (162 nucleotides) under Croton troncosoi. RNAcentral describes it as "5.8S ribosomal RNA". It matches the Rfam family "5.8S ribosomal RNA". Rfam says of the family: 5.8S ribosomal RNA (5.8S rRNA) is a component of the large subunit of the eukaryotic ribosome. Lineage: Eukaryota; Viridiplantae; Streptophyta; Magnoliopsida; Malpighiales; Euphorbiaceae. The record is from RNAcentral.